This is a long non-coding RNA of Loxodonta africana (African savanna elephant), 678 nucleotides long. RefSeq lists it as uncharacterized. Lineage: Eukaryota; Metazoa; Chordata; Mammalia; Proboscidea; Elephantidae. The transcript is spliced from 3 exons. The record is from RefSeq and is a predicted model, not a curated record.
UUCGUACCCUCUUAGGCGUCUCUACAUCCUCCCCACCGCGGAGACGGGGCCGCCCGAGAGGAGUUGCCCACCUGGCAGCGUCGCCUCCGCCUUUGUUUCCCGCCCAGAGGGAUGCUGGCAGUUGUGAUGUAUGUCCUGUCCAUGGAGAGACUCAUGUGACAAAGACCUCAGGGAGAGUCUUGAUCAACAGACAGAGAGGAGGAAGUGAGGCCCCCCAGACCAACAGCUCACAGAGUCCUGCUCAUAACAUGGAAGUGAGUAGGUACAGAUCCUCCCCAGUCAAGACUCAUUUGAGACCAAAACCACAGGCUCCUGAGAACUUGAGGCAGUCACGAGAUUGUGAGCUUCUAGGUCAGGGACCACGUGGGUCAUUUUCAGAACCAGCUCCUGGACCACCGGCUGAUGUUGAUCCUGCUCCUGCACUAACACUGGAGCUCCAUAGUGCACCAACUAUUCUGUCACCAGCUCCAUUGCCAGCGUCACAUGAACAGCCAGCUGGAGGCAUAAAUUUCAAUCCUGGGCCACCUCCAGAAAUGGCUCCCAGAUCAUCUGCUGAUGUCGAUCCUGCUCCUGCUCAACAUAAGAGCUCUAUAGAGCACCAGGUCCUCCAUCUCCAGCUCUGCCUCGGUCACCAGAGGUUGAGUCAUUUGCCGCACCUCCUCCACAGCCACCCCUCAU